GGGGGUGAACAGGAUUUGACGGAAGUGGUAUAGGUAAUGACAGCAGGUCGGAGUUGGUCGAUGGCUCCGCAAAAAUCGACUGAAAAAUAAACAACAAAAAGAAUUCUGUCCUUGUACAACCAAUGCUAAAGACUUUUGGCUUUAGUCCUAUGUUUGUACUUCCACUUGUUGCUUAACGUGACAAAUUUUACCUUAGACACCUGCUAUAGGGAUAAAAUGACAAGAGCAGGUUAGUUUUAAACAGCUUGUGUGCCGUAAGUUUAAAACAAAAAUAAAAGGCACUGGUUUAUAGCAUAGUAUGCCCGAUUACGGUGUUAUAAAACGAGAUAAAUUUCGGGCUAAACCUGUAGCUAAGUCUUACUAAACACUUUCGGACGCGGGUUCGAUUCCCGCCACCUCCACUA
This 404-nucleotide transfer-messenger RNA is filed under the name Endomicrobium sp. It matches the Rfam family "transfer-messenger RNA". From Rfam's summary of the family: Bacterial tmRNA, also known as 10Sa RNA or SsrA, is named for its dual tRNA and mRNA-like properties. Lineage: Bacteria; Pseudomonadati; Elusimicrobiota; Endomicrobiia; Endomicrobiales; Endomicrobiaceae. The record is from RNAcentral.